This 257-nucleotide long non-coding RNA is filed under the name Capsicum annuum. Its description in RNAcentral is "long non-coding RNA (CANN_LNC010176)". The record is from RNAcentral. Lineage: Eukaryota; Viridiplantae; Streptophyta; Magnoliopsida; Solanales; Solanaceae.
GAGCCUAAGAGAAAGGGGGAGAUCCCAUUAGUCUAGAACUUAUAAAAACUUUCCACCAGGGUCUAGCAGACAAGUCCAACUGAAAUAUAGUUUAGUCCACACUACGAGUCUCCAUAAGGCCUAAUCAAUGAAGCCUAUCCUCAUAAGCAGUCAAAAACUCAAAUGUAUCCUCUUUAGGAGCACUAUAAAAUCUAGGCGGAGCCAACCUUAAGAAUCCACCCAAUGUCUUCUACUACUUAGCAGACAUAACUAGCUGG